Molecule: transfer RNA, 67 nt
Filed under: Ovis aries (sheep)
Lineage: Eukaryota; Metazoa; Chordata; Mammalia; Artiodactyla; Bovidae
Rfam family: tRNA
About the family: Transfer RNA (tRNA) molecules are approximately 80 nucleotides in length. Their secondary structure includes four short double-helical elements and three loops (D, anti-codon, and T loops).
Source: Rfam by way of RNAcentral
CCUGGUGGCUCAGAGGUCAGCGUCUGCCUGCAAUGCAGGAGACCUGGGUUCGAACCCUGGGUCAGGA